This 1062-nucleotide long non-coding RNA is filed under the name Oreochromis niloticus (Nile tilapia). RNAcentral describes it as "lncRNA (ENSONIG00000033462.1)". Lineage: Eukaryota; Metazoa; Chordata; Actinopteri; Cichliformes; Cichlidae. The record is from RNAcentral.
AUGCUGAACGGAGGGAGGGAGGGCCUGUUUGAGCUGGGACAGCAGCUCCAGCAGCAGGGGGAGUACCAGGCCGCCCUCCACUGCUUCCUCAGCUGCCUGCUGGGACUGACUCAUGUGCAGAGCUUCACCUCUCUGCCCAACUGCUUACACCAGAUUGCAGAACUCUUCAUCACUGAAAAGAAUUAUGGGAAGGCCCUCCAGUUCAUACAGGCUGAAAAAAUGUUCUAUGAAGUGGCAUUGAUCGAGCUCACCGCUCUUCAGGGGAGCACAGGGCCUCAAGAGGAGGCUACGCUGGGCUCCGCGGGAUGGACAACCCCAGAGGAACUUUCAGAGCAGGCCUCCCAGGCACAGCACCUCGAACGGCUGGCUCAGCUCUGCAUCAUGAGCAAACAACCUCAUCUUGCCCUAGAAUACAGCGGUAAGGCUACAAAGAUUCACCAGAGGGCCUUUGGAAAUGACCAUCCAAUUACAGCUAGAAGCCUUGAGCUCAUGGCAACCGUAUAUGCUGAAAUUGGCAAGACUGAAUAUUCAGACUCUCUGGGUCAGUGUGUGUCUGCACUGUCCAAACGUUUCGCUGCUGCAGAGUCUCUCAGAGACUCGGUCAGCUGUCUUCCUCAUUCCCACCGGGAGAAACACUCAGAGGUACGCCACAGAAAGGACACUCACCACCAUCAGGAAGACACACUUAAACCUAAGUUAACCAACAGCAAAGUCCCCACUUCCAUCCUAAAGAAGCCAAGUUCCAACUACGGACUAGACACAGAACUCAACCACAAACGUAAAGGCGAGCGCAGAGUUCGAUUCAGGGAGCCUGAGACCACAGUGCACGACAAUCCUUAUUGUGACUGUAUAGGUGCCUAUGAGACUACACCAUCCCGCCCCCACCUUGCCCUGUUCACCUGCCUCUUCCUGCUGAUGUCAUUCCUGGGCGUCGCCAUGUACUGCACAGACCGUCGACGCCCACAGAGAGUGUGCGAGGAGCUGGAGGCAACUUUGGCCGUCUACCUGCUGCACAUGAAACAGCUUCUGUGGGGCUGCUGGAUAUGGUUGACAAUGCAGUGA